RNAcentral lists this small nuclear RNA (24 nucleotides) under Arabidopsis thaliana (thale cress). RNAcentral describes it as "snRNA_18033". Lineage: Eukaryota; Viridiplantae; Streptophyta; Magnoliopsida; Brassicales; Brassicaceae. The record is from RNAcentral.
UCUGUUGGAAGUAAAACAUCCUAU